This 416-nucleotide ribosomal RNA is filed under the name Chaetoceros affinis. RNAcentral's name for it is "partial Bacterial large subunit ribosomal RNA". It matches the Rfam family "Bacterial large subunit ribosomal RNA", at positions 1326 to 1746 of the family's 2925-position model. Lineage: Eukaryota; Bacillariophyta; Thalassiosirophyceae; Chaetocerotales; Chaetocerotaceae. The record is from RNAcentral.
AAACCCGCACGCCGGAAGACCAAGGGUUCCUGCGCAACGCUAAUCGGCGCAGGGUGAGUCGGCCCCUAAGGCGAGGCAGAGAUGCGUAGCUGAUGGGAAACAGGUCAAUAUUCCUGUACCGAUCAAUAGUGCGAUGUGGGGACGGAGAAGGUUAGCUCAGCCAACUGUUGGAUAUGUUGGUUCAAGCCUGUAGUCGUGCCUGGUAGGCAAAUCCGCCGGGCUUAGAUGAGGGGUGAUAACGAGUCUGCUUGCAGACGAAGUGAGUGAUACCCUGCUUCCAGGAAAAGCCACUAAGCUUCAGCUAUUGACGACCGUACCGCAAACCGACACUGGUGCGCGAGAUGAGUAUUCUAAGGCGCUUGAGAGAACUCGGGAGAAGGAACUCGGCAAACUGGUACCGUAACUUCGGGAUAAGG